GUCUUUGUAGUAUAGUGGUGAGUAUUUCAGCCUGUCACGCGGGUUACCCGGGUUCGAUCCCCGGCAACGGCG
This is a non-coding RNA of Picea glauca (white spruce), 72 nucleotides long. Lineage: Eukaryota; Viridiplantae; Streptophyta; Pinopsida; Pinales; Pinaceae. The record is from Rfam.